Molecule: ribosomal RNA, 477 nt
Filed under: uncultured bacterium
Lineage: Bacteria
Description: partial 16S ribosomal RNA
Rfam family: Bacterial small subunit ribosomal RNA
Source: RNAcentral
GACGAACGCUGGCGGCGUGCUUAACACAUGCAAGUCGAACGGUAAGGCCCUUCGGGGUACACGAGUGGCGAACGGGUGAGUAACACGUGGGUGAUCUGCCCUGCACUUCGGGAUAAGCCUGGGCAACUGGGUCUAAUACCGGAUAGGACUCCUGCCUGCAUGGGUGGGGGUGGAAAGCUUUUCGGUGUGGGAUGGGCCCGCGGCCUAUCAGCUUGUUGGUGGGGUGAUGGCCUACCAAGGCGACGACGGGUAGCCGGCCUGAGAGGGUGACCGGCCACACUGGGACUGAGAUACGGCCCAGACUCCUACGGGAGGCAGCAGUGGGGAAUAUUGCACAAUGGGCGCAAGCCUGAUGCAGCGACGCCGCGUGAGGGAUGACGGCCUUCGGGUUGUAAACCUCUUUCAGCACCGACGAAGCGCAAGUGACGGUAGGUGCAGAAGAAGGACCGGCCAACUACGUGCCAGCCGCCGCAGUAA